ACUAGCCGUUACCUUGUCUCGGGCUACACACGUACUACAAUGGCCGUUACAACGGGAAGCGAAGGAGCAAUCCGGAGCAAAUCCCUUAAAAGGCGGUCCCAGUUCAGAUUGUGGGCUGAAACUCGCCCACAUGAAGGCGGAAUUGCUAGUAAUUGCAGAUCAGCAUGCUGCAGUGAAUACGUUCCCGGGCCUU
This 193-nucleotide ribosomal RNA is filed under the name uncultured Oscillospiraceae bacterium. RNAcentral describes it as "partial 16S ribosomal RNA". It matches the Rfam family "Bacterial small subunit ribosomal RNA", at positions 1188 to 1382 of the family's 1533-position model. Lineage: Bacteria; Bacillati; Bacillota; Clostridia; Eubacteriales; Oscillospiraceae. The record is from RNAcentral.